UUGCAUGUUCUACCGACUGAGCCAGCCAGGCACCCCAGUUUGCUCUCUAUCUAAAGUUAGGGUCCUCCUUUAUGGCAAUGAUUGCUUUACUGGCUUUAAGGAGCCCAGGCCUAAGUCAAGUUUGAAUUAACCCCUUGGUUGUGUCACAGGGGUGCUAUGAGUGCUUUUCCCCAAUAAUCCUGAGAAUCAGGAGUUCUGUCCUGUCCUGUCCGCUGAGCUUAGGUUCCUAACUGCUUCACGCAGCAACAUCUUACUCCCGUGGGCAAGAGUCAAUCAUCCUUGCAACUAUCACCCAGCAGUGCUGGCAGGGGUGGUGGUGAGGGGGGCAUCAGGUCAAUUUAUUUUGUGAGGCAGAUGAAAACAUGGCAUGGGCUGGCUGUGUUUUACCCAGACCCACAGGGCCUGUUCUCAGUCACUGUGUUUCCUCCAGGAGUAACAACUGGUCUGAAGGGGGGGGGGGGGGAAUUUCCCUUUCCUCUUUUUCCCUCUACUUUUCUCUAAGUCCCAGGGCCUGAUUGGUUAAGUGCCCAGAGAGGAGUCAUGGUGACUCACAAUGGUUCUCAAAACUUUGUGACCACAUGCAAUGAAUGGCAGGCUAUGGACACUGACUAACACCACCUGGGUUACUUCUGGUUCAGGGCUGAACACGGUCCACUGGGCAAUGGUCAGUGACUCUGGCCUCGAGAUCCAAUCACCCAGUGAGAGCGGCAAGGGAACUCAGUCCCAGGCUUCCUCCAUUGUGCUCUUUGUGAAGCCAUCCGUAGCGCCAACGAGUCAUGGAGAGGGUAUGCUCUGAAGUCCGUCCCAGCAUACCCAUCCCGAGCAUCAAGAGGAAGGCAGACGAAUACUUAAAACCCACCCUGGGCUCCAAAAACGUCCUGAGCUUUUUACUCGGUAGGCAGUUAGGGAGCCACAGAAAUGAUCUGGAUCUGUCCAAGUGGCUGUGGAUGCUGACGCGAGCCGCACCAGAGUGGAGGUGGCCCUUGCCAAAAAAUCACAUAACCUAUGUGCUCAUGCCUCCGUGCAAUUUUGGAAAAUGCAAAAAACCGGUUUAGAAUAACAAUAGCCUUGCUUCAGCUGUUCAAAUAAAAGCUGCAUUUUCACUCCCA
Molecule: long non-coding RNA, 1109 nt
Organism: Mustela lutreola (European mink)
Lineage: Eukaryota; Metazoa; Chordata; Mammalia; Carnivora; Mustelidae
Exons: 3
Source: RefSeq, a predicted model, not a curated record